This 22-nucleotide microRNA is filed under the name Capitella teleta. RNAcentral's name for it is "Cte-Mir-1995_3p* (star (passenger))". The record is from RNAcentral. Lineage: Eukaryota; Metazoa; Annelida; Polychaeta; Capitellidae.
GGUUUCAAUGGGAUAUGUUGAU